UUUAAUUUAAAGGUCAAGGGAUAGGAUGAGCAUGCGUUCAUUAGCUAGAUGGUAAGGCCAUGGCUUACCUUGGUGACGAUGGGUAGGGGGCCUGACAGGGUGGUCCCACUCACUGGUACUGAAAACUCGAACAGACUCCUACCGGAGGCAACUUUGAAGAAUAUUGGUCAAUGGGAUCCAGCCUUAACCAGUCCUGCCGCACGCCGGACGAGUGCCCUAUGUCUUGCAAAGUGGUUUUAUUUGGGAAUAAACCUAUUUACGUGCCAAUAGUUGAAGGUACCAACUGAAUCAGCAC
Molecule: ribosomal RNA, 295 nt
Filed under: uncultured bacterium
Lineage: Bacteria
Description: partial 16S ribosomal RNA
Rfam family: Bacterial small subunit ribosomal RNA
Source: RNAcentral